RNAcentral lists this ribosomal RNA (497 nucleotides) under uncultured bacterium. RNAcentral describes it as "partial 16S ribosomal RNA". It matches the Rfam family "Bacterial small subunit ribosomal RNA", at positions 28 to 507 of the family's 1533-position model. The record is from RNAcentral.
GAUGAACGCUGGCGGCGUGCCUAAUACAUGCAAGUCGAGCGAACGGACGAGAAGCUUGCUUCUCUGAUGUUAGCGGCGGACGUGUGAGUAACACGUGUAUAACCUACCUAUAAGUCUGGUAUAACUUCGGGAAACCGGAGCUAAUACCGGAUAAUAUUUUGAACCGCAUGGUUCAAAAGUGAAAGACGGUCUUGCUGUCACUUAUAGAUGCAUCCGCGCUGCAUUAGCUAGUUGGUAAGGUAACGGCUUACCAAGGCAACGAUGCAUAGCCGACGUGAGAGAGUGAUCGGCGACACUGGAACUGAGCCACGGUCCAGACUACUACGGGAGGCAGCAGUAGGGAAUCUUCCGCAAUGGGCGAAAGCAUGACGGAGCAAGGCCGAGUGAGUGAUGAAGGUCUUCGGAUCGUAAAACUCGGUUAUUAGGGAAGAACAGAUGUGUAAGUAACUGUGCACAUCGUGACGGUACCUAAUCAGAAAGCCCCGGCUAACUACGUG